RNAcentral lists this ribosomal RNA (541 nucleotides) under uncultured bacterium. RNAcentral describes it as "bacterial SSU rRNA". It matches the Rfam family "Bacterial small subunit ribosomal RNA", at positions 355 to 896 of the family's 1533-position model. The record is from RNAcentral.
UGAGGAAUAUUGGUCAAUGGACGCAAGUCUGAACCAGCCAUGCCGCGUGCAGGAUGACGGCUCUAUGAGUUGUAAACUGCUUUUGUACGAGGGUAAACCCCGAUACGUGUAUCGGGCUGAAAGUAUCGUACGAAUAAGGACCGGCUAACUCCGUGCCAGCAGCCGCGGUAAUACGGAGGGUCCAAGCGUUAUCCGGAUUUAUUGGGUUUAAAGGGUGCGUAGGCGGUUUGAUAAGUUAGAGGUGAAAGCCCGAUGCUCAACAUCGGAACUGCCUCUAAUACUGUUGGACUGGAGAGUGGUUGCUGUUGGCGGAAUGUGUUGUGUAGCGGUGAAAUGCUUAGAUAUGACACAGAACACCGAUUGCGAAGGCAGCUGACAAAGCCAUUUCUGACGUUGAGGCACGAAAGCGUGGGGAGCAAACAGGAUUAGAUACCCUGGUAGUCCACGCCGUAAACUAUGAUAGCUCGUUGCCGGCGAUACACAGUCGGUGACUUAGAGAAAUCGUUAAGCUAUCCACCUGGGGAGUACGUUCGCAAGAAUG